RNAcentral lists this ribosomal RNA (477 nucleotides) under uncultured soil bacterium. RNAcentral describes it as "bacterial SSU rRNA". It matches the Rfam family "Bacterial small subunit ribosomal RNA", at positions 26 to 487 of the family's 1533-position model. The record is from RNAcentral.
AGAUUGAACGCUGGCGGCAGGCCUAACACAUGCAAGUCGAGCGGUAGAGAGGUGCUUGCAUCUCUUGAGAGCGGCGGACGGGUGAGUAAUGCCUAGGAAUCUGCCUAGUGGUGGGGGAUAACGUUCGGAAACGGACGCUAAUACCGCAAUACGUCCUACGGGAGAAAGCGGGGGACCUUCGGGCCUCGCGCCAUUAGAUGAGCCUAGGUCGAUUAGCUAGUUGGUGAGGUAUGGCUCACCAAGGCGACGAUCCGUAACUGGUCUGAGAGGAUGAUCAGUCACACUGGAACUGAGACACGGUCCAGACUCCUACGGGAGGCAGCAGUGGGGAAUAUUGGACAAGUGGGCGAAAGCCUGAUCCAGCCAUGCCGCGUGUGUGAAGAAGUCUUCGGAUUAGAAAGCUACGUUUAAGUUGGGAGGUAACGGUUAGUAACCGUAAUCCGUUUAGACGUAACUUUCGACGUUUACCGACUAGAA